This 301-nucleotide ribosomal RNA is filed under the name uncultured bacterium. RNAcentral describes it as "partial 16S ribosomal RNA". It matches the Rfam family "Bacterial small subunit ribosomal RNA", at positions 509 to 807 of the family's 1533-position model. The record is from RNAcentral.
CAGCCGCCGCGGGAAUACGAAGGGUGCAAGCGUUAAUCGGAAUUACUGGGCGUAAAGCGUGCGUAAGCGGUUUGUUAAGUCUGCUGUGAAAUCCCCGGGCUCAACCUGGGAAUGGCAGUGGAUACUGGCAAGCUAGAGUGUGUCAGAGGAUGGUGGAAUUCCCGGUGUAGCAGUGAAAUGCGUAGAGAUCGGAAGGAACAUCUGUGGCGAAGGCGACUAUCUGGGCCAACACUGACACUGAGGCACGAAAGCGUGGGGAGCAAACAGGAUUAGAGACCCGCGUAGUCCCUGUCUCUUAUAC